This 150-nucleotide ribosomal RNA is filed under the name Benjaminiella poitrasii. Its description in RNAcentral is "5.8S ribosomal RNA". It matches the Rfam family "5.8S ribosomal RNA". From Rfam's summary of the family: 5.8S ribosomal RNA (5.8S rRNA) is a component of the large subunit of the eukaryotic ribosome. It is transcribed by RNA polymerase I as part of the 45S precursor that also contains 18S and 28S rRNA. Functionally, it is thought that 5.8S rRNA may be involved in ribosome translocation. RNAcentral also lists the same sequence under 1 other name. The record is from RNAcentral. Lineage: Eukaryota; Fungi; Mucoromycota; Mucoromycetes; Mucorales; Mucoraceae.
AACUUUUAACAACGGAUCUCUUGGUUCUCGCAUCGAUGAAGAACGUAGCAAAGUGCGAUAACUAGUGUGAAUUGCAUAUUUAGUGAAUCAUCGAGUCUUUGAACGCAACUUGCAGCCAAUGGUAUUCCAUUGGCUAUGCCUGUUUCAGUA